CUUGAAAAUUAGACUUAAUUUUGAAAGGGUGGUUUUUAGUUGCUAUGCGUAUAUUUGUACCGAAAUAAUAUUUCAGUCGCAGCGACCUCUCAAAUGAUUGAAAAUCUUUUAUCAAUUGUCUGUGGUUACAUUUGUUUGUAGGAACAAAUUUUAAACCUUUUGCUAUAACUUUAAAUUCAGUUUCAGUUAUAUCUCUUUUAGAUAGGUUUAGGACUAACUCUUUAUGAAAGUUAAG
This 235-nucleotide long non-coding RNA is filed under the name Mytilus galloprovincialis (Mediterranean mussel). Lineage: Eukaryota; Metazoa; Mollusca; Bivalvia; Mytilida; Mytilidae. The record is from RNAcentral.